This 77-nucleotide transfer RNA is filed under the name Alphaproteobacteria bacterium. RNAcentral describes it as "tRNA-Arg". It matches the Rfam family "tRNA". From Rfam's summary of the family: Transfer RNA (tRNA) molecules are approximately 80 nucleotides in length. The record is from RNAcentral. RNAcentral also lists the same sequence under 1 other name. Lineage: Bacteria; Pseudomonadati; Pseudomonadota; Alphaproteobacteria.
GACUCCAUAGCUCAGCUGGAUAGAGCAGCCGCCUUCUAAGCGGCAGGUCGCUGGUUCGAAUCCAGCUGGAGUCGCCA